Ceratitis capitata (Mediterranean fruit fly) is the source of this 173-nucleotide long non-coding RNA. RefSeq lists it as uncharacterized. NCBI's taxonomy places the organism in Eukaryota, Metazoa, Arthropoda, Insecta, Diptera, Tephritidae. The record is from RefSeq and is a predicted model, not a curated record. The transcript has 2 exons.
UUGUCUGUCGUUUACUCUGUUGACGUGACUGCAAUAUUAUUUGGCAAUUUAUCUAAUUUUUCGCUAGAGAGUCAUAAAAUAGAAAUGAUUUCGCGCGUGUGUGUUGGUGUGUUUGUUUGAAUGAAAAUACUUAUUAAAGCAAUAACUUGUGAAUUGAGAAUGGCAGCUGGGGG